UUUUUCUGACUUUCACAAUUCGUCCUCUCUCUUUUCUUUUUUUAAUUUUAUCUUCGCUUUCAAUUGGUCGAUUUUUCGUUCCAUUCUCGCCUCCAACGACCAAUGGUCGUCCUGCCUUCAACAAUUUUUAGCCUUCAAAGAUUUUCGACGAGUAGCAAUUUUCUACAAUUUUCCGUUUGCGUCUACUUCGGAAUUCAGAAUUAUGAUUAUUCAAUGUUAUGAGUGUAACACUACCUCUAGUUUGCAAGGGUCAAGCAAAAGGACCAUGAAAACAAAAAAAAAAGAUUGAUUGAUGAAAAGAAAAGUCACUCAAAAUGUAGUUAUUUUUGUCGUGCUGGUCACAACCGUAGAACGUGCACACUUCCAUUAUUUUUACAAUUAUGUGACAUUAUGUUGUUGCCUUUUUUUUUUCUUUUGUUAGAAGGAAAUACUUUCUAUUUGUUUGACUCAAACCUUUCGAUAAUAAGUCACUUCUUUUAUCAAUA
Cucumis melo (muskmelon) is the source of this 485-nucleotide long non-coding RNA. RefSeq lists it as uncharacterized. The transcript has 2 exons. The record is from RefSeq and is a predicted model, not a curated record. NCBI's taxonomy places the organism in Eukaryota, Viridiplantae, Streptophyta, Magnoliopsida, Cucurbitales, Cucurbitaceae.